UAAUGAUGACGAGAAUUGACAUAUAAAAUCAGUCUUGGUGGAUUCAUGUUUGGUGGCAGAGGCAUGGAGGGGGAAUAGCAGAGGAUGGUAUAGAGCACGGGGAGAGGAACAAAUGUGGCAGCGCAGAUGGAAAAAAUAUUGAUGGUAGAGAUGAAGGGAUGGAGGGGAGGAAAAACUGGUCGCAAUGUGUCUAGAUGACCAAUAAUCUAGUCUGUUUC
Lupinus albus (white lupine) is the source of this 218-nucleotide non-coding RNA. The record is from the annotation of a GenBank genome assembly. NCBI's taxonomy places the organism in Eukaryota, Viridiplantae, Streptophyta, Magnoliopsida, Fabales, Fabaceae.